AUUUUUUUCCGCUCUCUCUAAAACUUUCGAACCCUAGCUAAUAACGAAUCUCUCUCCGUCUCUCCUCUGGGUCCUCUCUCUCUCUCUCCGGCACGGCCUUUUCUCUCUUCAACGGUGACUGACUGACGGUGGUAACUGUGUCCUCAAGAGUCAAGGCUCAAGCAGAGUUCUGGGUUCUUGAAGGCUUACUUGAAGGCUUGAAGGAUGGGUUCAAUCGAUACUUCGAUUUCAGUUUUUGAUUUCAGAUUCUUGAAGGCUUGAAGGCUGGGUUCGAUUUCGGAUUUCUGGUUACUGAUAUGAUCAUGACUCUCUCACCUCCAUCGUUAUGCUCCUGCGAU
Rosa rugosa (rugosa rose) is the source of this 338-nucleotide long non-coding RNA. RefSeq lists it as uncharacterized. The record is from RefSeq and is a predicted model, not a curated record. The transcript has 3 exons. Lineage: Eukaryota; Viridiplantae; Streptophyta; Magnoliopsida; Rosales; Rosaceae.